This 4483-nucleotide long non-coding RNA is filed under the name Homo sapiens (human). RNAcentral's name for it is "HSALNT0379507". Lineage: Eukaryota; Metazoa; Chordata; Mammalia; Primates; Hominidae. The record is from RNAcentral.
AGAGGGCCCCUCCUGCCCGCCACGUUUCCUUCCUGCUGGGGGGCUUCUGUUCUCCCAGACCGGGUCGGUGCUCUUUUCCCCCGGCGCCCCUCCCCCACCCAGCCCGGGCCUUGCCUGCCGCAGCCACCUUCUUCUCUGAUGCUGUGUCCUGGACUUGGUGACAAUGGCAAAUUGACAAGAAGGCGAGCCUGGGCCUUUCCUGCGGCGACAUCCAGCUUCCCCCGCCCCUCCCUGGGUGGGUGCCCACCACACGCCCAGCCUGCCGCGUGCUUAUCCAGGCCCUCCAGGCCAGGCCUCCGGGUCUUAUGGAAGAAGGCCCCGUGUCUGGGCAGUGCCGUGGCUGUGAGUGAGCAUCCGGGGCCAGUCAGAUGUGCCGUCUCCGGAGGUCACUUCCAUAGUGGCCAUCAACAGCUUGGCCAAACUCGGCCGCAGGAUCUUUUCCUAUCAAUUGCAGGAUGGACUCUUCCCGCAGCCAUGCGACCUGUGGCCCGCGGUCCUGCUCCCUGAGCUGGAGGAGGCUGAACAGAAUGAGCAGGUUGAGGCCUGUGGGAAGGAAGAGCCACAUCUCCUUCAUGUUUAUUACCCCCUCCGCAGGCCAUAGCUAGGAGGCCUUGAAGGUUUUUUUAAGGGGGAAAGGGGGUUUCCAGAACCACAGCCGGCUCAGCAGAAAGUCUCCACCAACAGAAUCUGUGGGCGCACAUUCCUCAACAGCUGAAGAAGGGGCUGGAGGGGCUCAUGGCAUCCCCUCCAGAGGCAGGCCCAGGGCCCUGUGUGCAGUGGGGGGUCCUGCAUCUGCAUUGUUGUUAAGAAAGUGACAUUUGGCUACAUGGAGUGACUCAUGCCUGUAAUCCCAGCACUUUGGGAGGCUGAAGCUGUCAGAUUGCUUGGGCCCAGGAGUUCGAGAUCAGCCUGGGCAACUUGGUGAAACCUCAUUUCUUUUUUUUUGAGACAGGGUCUCACUCUGUAGCCAAGACUGGAGUGCAGUGGCACAAUCUCGGCUCACCGCAACCUCCACUUCCCAGGCUCAAGUGAUUCUCCUGACUCAGCCUCCCGAGUAGCUGGGAUUACAGGUGUGCACCACCACGCCUGACUAAUUUUUGUAUUGUUAGUAGAGACGGGGUUUCACCAUGUUGGCCAGGUUGGUGUUGAACUCCUGACUUCAAAUGAUCCACCUGCCUUGGCCUCCCAAAGUGCUGGGAUUACAGGCCUGAGCCACUGCGCCCGGACUUUUUUUUUUUUUUGAGAUGGAGUUUCGCUCUGUCACCCAGGCUGGAGUGUGGUGGCAUGAUCUCGGCUCACUGCAACCUCCACCUCCCAGGGUCAAGUGAUUCUCCUGGGUCAGCCUCCGGAGUAGCUGGGAUUACAGGUACGUACCAUCAUGCCUGGCUAAUUUUUGUAUUUUUAGUAGAGACAGGGUUUCACCACGUCUGCCACGCUGGUCUUGGACUCCUGACCUCAAGUGAUCUGCCCACCUCGGCCUCCCAAAGUGCUGGAAUUACAGGUGUGAGCCACCAUGCCCAGCCCUCAUUUCUACAAAACAUACAAAAAUUAGCCAGGCUUGGCACACACCUGUAGUCCCAAGUACUCAAGAGGAUGAAGUGGGAGGUUCACUUGAGCCUGGGGAGGUAGAGGCUGCAGUGAACCAUGUUCUUGCCACUGCACUCCAGCCUGUGUGACAGUGAGGCCCUGUCUCAAAAAAAAAAAAAAGGCAACACUUCUUGAGGCUGCUGGUUUUUCAGCCCUGCUGUGCUGCAUGCUUUUGGCGCUCACUCUAAUUCACAGGGCCUCGAGGGCGAGACUUCGGCUCACAGCUGUAUCCCAGGGCCUAGAACUGUGUCUGACAUAUACCAGAUUUCUUCCCGGUCAGCCCCAAACACUGAAUGUAAAUACGGUCCAACAUCAACCUGCAAACGAACACUGACAUGAAAGUGCAGUUGGAAAGGAUCUCGCAAAGGAACAGAAUCUGGUGAUCCUAAUCGUAAUGAACGUGAUCGCCGGGUAUUGAGAGCUUGCAGGUACCAGGGCUCCGGCACUACGUGUUUCACAGGGGCCACUCGGUAGACCUCUUGGUGACCUUGAGGUCAGGUACCACGUUCCCAUUUUACAGAGGAGGAAACUGAGAUAACCUACGACAGCGAAAAGGUAGCAGAGCUGGGACUGGUGCCCAGGCUCGCCGAGUGGAAAAGCCCUCGGCCACCGUGGAGAGCUCGCUUCCUGUGGUCUGAAGCGUCGCCCCUGCACCGGCUUCUGCUGCCAAGGAUGGCUUUUCCUCACUGGUGCCCACCUACGCUCACUUGUGUCAUGUGGUUAAGCCCUUUUGGCAACAUAAGACCUUUCCCAAGAAUGUGCCUCGGUGCAGAGGAAGACGGUGGGGGCAGGCCCCCUCCCCGGGAUGCUCCACCCUCCCUGACCUCACACGGGUGCAACCUGGGCCGUGGCCGAGACCUGCUGUGUGGCAGACAAUGGGAAGCCUGUGUGUCGUCCUGGGUGCCGGAUUUAGACAAUAUUUAGCUUUCCCUUGGUGGAAAAGCCUUUCCCCUCCUGCUUUGGGCAGGAACUGGUUCCUGUUGGGCGGGGCCUGGCUGCUGCCCCACCCCCACCCGGCCGGGCACCUUGACCGGCAGCUCUCCGGGCUGCUCCCUGCCUGUGUCCCUGAGCACUGACUCCAGAGGUUUAAUCAUUAACGGGCACGUUUGGCCUUCGGUCGUGGGCUGGAAUUUGGGACCUGUGCCCGGGAACAAUGAUCUCCGACACAUUAUUUUGUGUAAAAUCACUUUUAGCUGCCAUUAGCUAAUAAAGCUGGAAUAAAGUGAGGUCCAUUAACCAGCACUGGCCUCUCGGCCUCUGGGGCUCCUUGGGAGGGACCCAAGGGACUCACCUUUUGAGGACCGUGAAAUCGCCGCUAGAAAAUGUGCUUACAAUUGUGGUCCAGCACUGAAGCUGCUCAGUAUGUUUUCAGUCCCCUCUGUGGCAACCCCGUGUGUGGUUUUGGGGACUGGCAGAGUGCCCUGGAAGCGUGCCCACGUGCUGCAGAUCCACCAGAGGAAAUGCUCGGGAAACGCUGACGCCUGCUUUGCCCCCUGUUUCAGGGUCACCGAAUGAGAAGCUGUUGGGAUGAAUGGCUCCCCCACCCUCCUAGCCCGGGCCAGGGGUCGCCCAGCAGCAAUGCCCACCUCCCUUCGUCAUGGGAGGAGCUAGUGCUCCAGUCAGCCCUUUUCAUCCUGAGCUGUUUGCUGGAAGUCACCAGUGGGUAUCCACAGCGCAAGCCUCCUCUCUCUCCUUCCCCCAACCUCUGAGACAGCUGGCUGGAUGCUCCCUCCAACCCCAUUCCCCUGCCCUCUCCUGAGGACAGCUCUGUCGGGAGCAGGGCCUCCCAGCAAGAGCCAGCAGCUGCGCUGUUUCUGCUGCUCCAGCAUUUCGGGGGCAGCUGGCUGGAAGGGUAGGGGCGAUUUAGAGAGGCCCACUGGCAGGUGUGGUGAUGGGACUCCAUGUCUCCCGCAUGGGACGCCCCCUCCUCCCUGGGCUUCAUUCUUAGGGUCCCCAGUCAUUCUUCCCUGGGCACAGCCCUCCCUCUCUGUGCCUCAUUAGCUCAUCCCCAAGUCCACCCUACAGCUGGUCACCUCCGUCUUGGUGCAGCCUGCCUCCAUGGCCCCGCCUGAAUGCUGAGUGCCCAAGGGCCAGUGUUGCAAGGGGACCCCACCAGCCUUUCUACAGAGGCAACCAGAACCCUCUGGCCUCUCCCCAUCUUCCUGCCCUCCCACAUUUCUGCCUCCCUAGCUCUGCCCCCUGCCCCAGGAAGCUGAGGCUGCAAACUCAGAAUCUGCCUUCGCCUCUGGUGCGCUGCCAACUCCCCCUUGGGCAGGCCUGUCGCCUGCAGCCUGUGUCUGUGCUGCCCUCCACUGCCGUGGCAGUGCCCAGGCCAACUGGUCGGCAUGCUUGGGCUCAGGGACAACUUCACGGUCAGCACGUGGCUGUGCAUGGCCUUGGACACCUGGAACGUGGAGCCGGUCAGCCAGCAGCUUUCAGACAGGGAGGGGCCGAAGGGUCCAGGCCACACAGAGGGCCAGGGCCAGCAGCCAGGCACUGGCUGCCACCACCCGUUUUCCCCCAGCAGCCCUGGGCUCUCCCUUGGUGGCUCUGCUCUGUGACUGCGGGCUGGUUCUUGGACCUCGGUUCCCUGCUGUUCUGGGAGGCUCGGGGCCUAGCUGAACUUGGGGCCUUCCUGCCUGCCAGCCCCUGACUCCGGAUGGCCAGACACACUCCCAGAAACUCCACCCGGCCUCUUGUUGGCCACCGGAAGGGCUGGCGAGAGCUGCAGGAUGCGCACACCCCUAUUGAGGGCUUGCCCGCUGCCCCUCUGGGAGCCUUCCUGGAAUCCGGGAAAUGAAGGCGCUCUCAGGCAGGACACCCAGUCAGAUCCGUCUCGUGCAGGGCUCCGGGCCCCGUUCCUGGCCCUGCCAGGGAAGCCAGACCCGGCUGCCCA